This is a long non-coding RNA of Mus musculus (house mouse), 685 nucleotides long. RefSeq annotates it as predicted gene, 39558. The transcript is spliced from 4 exons. NCBI's taxonomy places the organism in Eukaryota, Metazoa, Chordata, Mammalia, Rodentia, Muridae. The record is from RefSeq and is marked validated.
CAAGGUCCAGCUGGGCAUCCAUCCCUGUGCUAAAAGAGGAAGAUGCAGGGAGCAGCCGCCAGAAGCCACGUUCUGAACUCACUCGGUGGUCCUUUCCCAGGACCAGGGCCUGGCUUCUGACAACUGUAUUCCCAGCGCCCAAUAAAUGCAGGCUGUGUGAUGGAGACUGGAGAGAGGCCUGCUGAGGAAGAUUGUCUCUAAGGAAGGUGGGGUGGGACCACAAGGUGUGGAAACCACUCCAGAGCAGGAAAUUGGCAGCUUUGGCAUACUGUUCAAGCCUUACCUGGGAUUUGUACCGCUCCCCUGAGAUGCUCAGGGUAGGGCUUGAGUGACUAAUUCCAUGGUCCCAGAGCAGUGGUUCUCAACCUUCCUGAUGCUGGGACCCUUCAAUACAUUUCCUUGUUUUAUGUGGUCUAGGGUGACCCCCAUGAAAGGAUCAUUGAACCCCACAAUGGGAGCUGAAAUGACACACAGGUUGAAAACCAUAGUCCUAGAGUCAGGCACAGGAGGGACUCUGUAAAAAGGUGGGACCAGAUGUCCUGGAGCCAGCUGCCUUCUCCCUCCUGUUAUUUCAGCAUCUGCAUCUGCACAGGCUGCCAUCCCUCCCGCCACAAACUCUGAGUGUUAUUUCCUCCUUCUGGAAAGUUCCUUACCAUCAAGUUCAGACAUCAUUUUCCUAGGGAAA